Molecule: long non-coding RNA, 970 nt
Filed under: Brassica napus (rape)
Lineage: Eukaryota; Viridiplantae; Streptophyta; Magnoliopsida; Brassicales; Brassicaceae
Description: long non-coding RNA (BNAP_LNC026818)
Source: RNAcentral
CAUGUACCGUAUCAGAGAUCUCAUUGACAGUUCUGCAAUAAACAUGGAAGUCGCAGACGCAUGAAAUGGGAUUAACUGGCGUUACUAUUCUAUUUUGGCAAUAUGGUAUAUUAUUCUAAUACCAUAGUAUCAUCAAUACCACAAAAAUAGAAAAAAAUAUCAGUCUGCUACCAUUUGUAUCAUCUAUUCCAUUUAUCAUCUUUUCUGGAAAUAAAAAUAAAAUAGAAAGGCAAUACCAUUUCUGCAUCAAUUUCAUUUAGGCACUUGUUAUACUAUCAAAAAAGACGAGUGGAAUAGACUGGUCUGCCCAAACAUAACUCCCAAAAGUAUGAUCGUCAAAGGUUCAAGACAGAUCGUUUCCGACAUGAAAUACAAUACAUGUACAUACAAAAUACAAAAAUAUAUAAGGCUGAAAUCAACUUACCGCCAUCAAUUUUCUGUCUUUACUCAUCUUUUCUGUACUCGAAUUGACAAUUUUUUCUUUGGUUUUCUUCUAUAAUGUCGUAUUUUCACCACCUCUAUUAUACAUUCUAGAGACAUCGCCCCUAUCUUUCUGUCUGAAUCUUCUUUAUUGUCUCUUUUUCAUUAUAGUUGGUUGUCGUUGCCAUAGUCGCCGUUGUUGAGACGUUCCAAACAUGAAGAAGAAAAUUGUAAUAUGUGAAUAGGAGCAAAGCCACGAUUUUCUAAGAGACUUGUUAAUUCCGGAGACGUGAUCGUUGCUUUAUAUACAUAUGUGGAGGUGAUGUUGUUCUUUGAUUUUUUUUUUUGUAGUUUUGGAUUCCGAGCGUAGUGCUAAAGGUGAGUUUUGGAGAUAAAUUGUUGGUUUCGUGUUGUUAAUUAUUUUUGUUGUUGUAACGUUGUUGUUGCGUUGUCGAUACCUGAGAAGAAGGAAUCUACGGUUGUGUUGUUGAUGUCUCUUAUUUGAAGUUGCUUUCCUGAGAUUUGUUUUUUAAGAGGCCUGAGAGCAACA